This 190-nucleotide microRNA precursor is filed under the name Oryza brachyantha (malo sina). RNAcentral's name for it is "MIR812 microRNA precursor family". It matches the Rfam family "MIR812 microRNA precursor family". The record is from Rfam by way of RNAcentral. Lineage: Eukaryota; Viridiplantae; Streptophyta; Magnoliopsida; Poales; Poaceae.
AAUAAGAUGAUUUUUCAGUUUUUUGAUACAAUGUUUGACUCUUUGUCUUAUUUGAAAUUUUUUUAUGAUUAAUUUUUUUAUUCUUAAUAGAUGAUAAAACAUGAAUAGUACUUUAUGUCCGACUAAUUUUUUAAGUUUUUGUAUAAAUUUUCAAAUAAGAUAAAUGGUUAAACGUUGGACAUGGAAAAAC